CCUCAUAAAGGCCAUGUCUGUUUCUGCUCCACCGCUACCACGCUGUGCACCUGGGGGUGGGCCGUCUCGUCUCCCUGAGACUUUUGCCUUCUCUGCCGCUCCUUGCCUCAAAGAUCCUCCCAGCAGUGGAGACACAACUGAUCUCGCUAUGCUCUUGGACCUCUUGGGAGCCUAAUGUCUGUUCCCGCUGGAGCUAAGUACAUGAUCAUUGCCAGCACAAGUGCUGUUUGCUGCCAAGGGGGGAAAAAAAGAAAGCAAAGGAAAGAAACCGAAGGUUGUAAGAUACAGUGAGAGACUAGAAGAGGAGACACUGGAACUCUUGCCAGAGAAAUUGCUGUGGUAGAUUUGCAACCUGAUUUCCAAACCUGGAUUGUUCAGAUGAAGUCAGAUAAACUUUGGAGAAACAUCUGUACCUCACAGCAUUGAUCUCAGACACCAACACCUUUGGCAGUUCUCCCGUCCCUCUCUCUCGUUGUCUCCAAAGCAAGUGAAAUGGAUGAGACUUAUGCUCUUCACCAGGACUGCAAACUCCUGGCUUUCAAUUCUGCAGCAAUUCCAAAAACCGUGUGCUACCUGAUUCUGUGCAAGUUAAACUGAAAGUUAAAUCUUUUGACUUUUUAAAUUUAUAUUUACUUGCUUAUUGUCCAACAUCCAAUCUAGAGCUUCUCUCUCCUUCCUUAGGCCCCCCUCAAAUCACCCAGAUGCCCGAAUCCUCUAUUAAAUCCAUUUACUAAAGUAUAAA
Molecule: non-coding RNA, 742 nt
Organism: Microcebus murinus (gray mouse lemur)
Lineage: Eukaryota; Metazoa; Chordata; Mammalia; Primates; Cheirogaleidae
Source: RefSeq, a predicted model, not a curated record